GGAUCCUUCCAUCCAUCACGAACCCACAGCUCCACUUUCCUUUUAUUUCCGCCGCCACGCCACGCGCACCUCGGCGAAGGACAAGGCUCCGGCUGCCGCCACCGCCUCUGCCCCCGGCUAUAAAGGCGCGCCCUUUGGCCGGCCCGCUCCUCCUACUCCUCGCUUCGCCCGUGCCAUGCCUUCCUCCUCCUCGCCGCGCUCUGCCCGGUCAGCUCCUCCUCCUCUUCGUCUGGGCGGUGCCUCUCUCCUCCGGCGUCCCCGCCGCGCUCCGGCCGGUCCACUUCUCCUCCACCCUUCGUCCGGGCCGUGCGUCUGCCCUACUCGAGCCGGGUUUCAUCUUGCUCGCCCUCCUCGAUCGAUUUGUCCGUUUAGAAUCGCGUCUGGAUUGCAUUUUGCUCGUCCUCGGUCGAUUUGUCCGUUCAGAGUCGCGUCCGGAUUUGGUUUUGCUCGCCGUCGCCGGUUUAGAUAGCUAGAGAACCCCACCUGAUUUGAUUUUGCUCGUUCUCGCGCUGAAUCCGUCAGUUUAGAACCGCUCCCGAGUUGAUUGUGCUCGUCCCCGCCGUCGUCAGUUUAGAGUCGCUCGCUUCUGAUUUGAUUCUGCUCGUCCUCGCCGUCGCCCGUUUUUGCUCGUCCUAGCCGUUGCCCCUGACGCGCUCGCACGUUCUUGGUCCGCCUCGUCGAGGGUCUCCGUCCGUCUGGUUUGCGAUUGAGAAAUUUCUGCGUGCGCUUCUGUUGUCUGAGAGACGCUUUGGAUCCUGCGUUUCUUCGUGUUCGUGUCGGCGCGAGCGUUACAGGAACGGUCGGGUCUUGGUUUUGAAAUUGGGUUGCGGACGGAGAUGGAGAGGCAGAGAGCAGUUGUCAGCUUGUCGUGCUAGUUCAGACCGCUUGUUCGUCGGUUGUUUUUCAGAUCUCAAACGGCUAGUAGCUUGUUCGUGUUGGUACGCCGGGUCAUGCCCUUUGAUACUCUGGUUCCUCUGUCGAUUCUGAUUGUAGUACCAGCUAGCUUGUUUCACUCUCGUCAGGCGUGCGUGCUCUCAUCCUGGAUGCAGGGGUGAUUCGUUACGGUUGUUCCGAUGGGUGUUAGUGUUACUGCUUCAGUUCUUUUCAAUUGGUUGGUUACUUCCUAUCAUGCUUUGCUUAUGUUCCCAUAUAUGCUGAUGUGUGUUCAGGGGUGCAAAUCAUGUGGCUUGCUGCUUGACUAAUUGAACACCUGCUGCUGCUACUGUAGGACAAGGUUUCCUUCUUUUAUUCCUCGUGUUGCUAUUUCCAUUUUUCAUACAGGAGUACUAGAUGAGGUGCUGCUAGUCUUUAGACUUCGUUCUAGAUUGCACAGCAUAACUCCAGAAUUUUGUCAUUGCACACCUGGGCAUAUAAUUCGGCUGUGAGCAUAACUCCAGAAUUUCUUUAUCUGUGAAAGCACGUUCAUCACAUGUUCUUUAUCAAUGCUGCUCACUUUUGUCACGUCCCUUUUGUUUGUCCUGAUAAAUUUUAUGGCAUCAACUUGGAGCAUCCAGUUUGUACUUCUGUAUUUGUUGCUAUGUAAGCCAUGCACUUGGGAAGCCUGGGCGUGAUUAGGAUUUGGAUUGCAUAUAGAUUUUAUGCUAUGUUUGUUUAUAACCUGGUUGUGACCUAAUAUAGUGUAAAUCUUCUAUUUUUUUUAAUUUAGUUUAUGUUCAGCGCAAGUAGAUUUUGUUCGUAAGUGGUAUUUGUUUUGCGUGUGCAUGAACAUUCAUGCUGUCAAUUUUUCUUAUCAUAAUCAUUUACCGUGGUGUUUGACAAUACAUUUCUACUGUUCUUUGUUCCCUUUUGAGGUUCACUGACUCAAUUAUGAAUGAGAUAUAAUAUCAAUUACUGUUGUCCAGUCACUGAAAUAAUGCUUUUCUUGCUUUGCCUAGACUUUGUGACACGAAUAAGCAUGUGUCUCUGUGCCUACAAACUUGUGGGUAGUGUUGUAGUGAUGAUGAUCCAACUAGCUUCCUGUUUUCAGGAAUGAAGAUUUGAAUUACCCUCACCCUUCUACAGAAAUCAGUUAACUCAUUCAGUUUCUGGAACUUCUUUAUAGCUUUCUGAGUUUACUUCGGUCUUGCAUGUAUUAGCUUUCUGUUUGUAACCCUAUCUAUGUUUGUUUCUUUGUGUGUUUCUUGUGUGCAAGUGCUCCACUGUGUGUGUCUUGACUGUGUGUCUGACUGUGUGUGUGUGUGUGAUAUGCCCCUAUCUAUGUAUGUUUCUUUGUCUGUUUCAUGUGUGCAAGUGCUCCAUUAUCUAUGUAUGUCUGUUUCUUUGUGUGUUUCUUGUGUGCAAGUGCUCCACUGUGUGUCUAAUUGUGCGUGUGUGUGUGUGUGUGUGUGAUGUGCCCCUAUCUAUGUAUGUUUCUUUGUCUGUUUCAUGUGUGCAAGUGCUCCAUUAUCUGUGUGUGACUGUGUUUGACUACUUGGAUGGCGUGAUUCUGAUUGUGUUACUGCUUAUAUGGUCUGUCCAAUUGGUUUCUUAUUCAUGCUUUGCUUGUGUUCCAAUGUCGUCUCCCCAUAUAUGGGGAUGUGUUCAGGUAUGCAAACCAUUUAGGCCGUUUUGAGCAGGCAGGGAUCCAGAGACGUGCGCUGGUCAGGCUUCUCUCCUGCUGAUAGAUGAUGAUAGGCAGCAUGGGCUGAGCAGAAAAGUUUGACUCUUGUAACACUUACUUGGCUUCCACUCCUUUGUGUGGCCGAUUUGGCAUCCAAUGCAUCUCAUGCCUAUCUUAUAUAUCUCACUCGCUCAUCACAGCAUCCUUUUCCCUGUUUUUGUUCCUUUUUUUAUCAUAAUAAUCAUGUAUACCGUGGUGUUUGACAGUACAUUUUUGUGAUAUCUGUGUUUCAUUAUGUCUUAUGUGGAUAGCAUAUUCUUUUUUUGUAUAUUACUGCUGUCCAUUCACUGGAAUAAUGCUUUUCUAAGUAUUUCAGGUAGGAUAUAGACAAAUGUCACAUUUGCUCUUCAGCUUGUUUUGCUAAGGACACUGAUGGGUAGGGUUUGCUUACAGCGCAGGACCGAUAAUUCUGAUAGUAUGCUGAUAGUAUGCCAAGGACUGCUCAGGGUUCCUAUCGCUUUCUGUUUUACCAACUAAGUCGUGGAUCACUCAUCAACCUGGUCUGUGUUUGUAUGCUGAAUUAUUUCCGGAUAGGAUAGAGGUGCAAUGUUUACAUCCAUGGCAGAAGGUUCUUUAACACUGAACUCAUCAAAGAUCCUUGGACUUGAGAGGUCACUACCUGGACGUAUAGGUAAGCAAUGCCGGGAGAGGUCAGCUACCAGAACUUCUUGCUGCUGAUCCUGGGAUGUUUCCAAACAUGCUCCCGAACAUGUUCAAUGUAUCCGCCCUAGGACAGCCACUGCCUUGACACAGCAGGCUGCUCGGCAUGCUCGGCGUGUUUACGUCGGUGGACUUCCUCCAAUCGCUAAUGAAACAGACGGUUGCUCUAUUCUUCAAUCAAGUUAUGGCUGCUAUUUUGGUCUGGGUGAUGCAGUUGCUAAUAUGAAGCUGAAUUUUGAAUUCAUACAAACAUCUUAGCUGGCACAAUCAUCUGAAUCCAAACAUAUGGAAUGAUGCUUGGACUACUGAGGAGGAACAUGCACUGAUUAAUGUCAUCAGGUAUAUGGGAAUAAAUGAGCAGAAAUAGCAGAAGUUCUUCCUGGAAG
Triticum aestivum (bread wheat) is the source of this 3666-nucleotide long non-coding RNA. RefSeq lists it as uncharacterized. The transcript has 9 exons. Lineage: Eukaryota; Viridiplantae; Streptophyta; Magnoliopsida; Poales; Poaceae. The record is from RefSeq and is a predicted model, not a curated record.